This 71-nucleotide transfer RNA is filed under the name Caudoviricetes sp. Its description in RNAcentral is "tRNA-Lys". The record is from RNAcentral. Lineage: Duplodnaviria; Heunggongvirae; Uroviricota; Caudoviricetes.
GACGCAGAAAUCCGGCGAAAUACAUGCGACUUUUAAUCAUUGGGUCCAGGGUUCGAGUCCCUGUGUCCCCA